This is a long non-coding RNA of Mustela erminea (ermine), 2187 nucleotides long. RefSeq lists it as uncharacterized. The transcript is spliced from 2 exons. NCBI's taxonomy places the organism in Eukaryota, Metazoa, Chordata, Mammalia, Carnivora, Mustelidae. The record is from RefSeq and is a predicted model, not a curated record.
ACAUUGGGUAUCGGUUUGUGAGUGAGGGGACUCAAGAUAGCUACUUCCUUGUCCUAUCUGAUAUUCUGCUUCACAGUUCAGUCCAGCUCUCUAAGAUCCCACUUAAAUGUGUAAUACCCUGGUUCCUGCCUGUCUGACUUACUCAAGUACUCAGAUUUCUUUGGCAUGUAAGCUAGUUUUUCCUGGACAAGGAAGUUUAUGUUACUUACCACUUCAGUUAGGCAAAGAUAUGACAUUACUUGGCCAGAGGGAAUGAGGAGAGCUGGGGCAGAUCUAGAAAAAAAACAGAUACUGUCAUCAGAGGCAGCAGUGUCAUCUGAAGCCAUUGCACGAUUUCUAGUCAGGAACAUGAUGAUCAGGGAGGAGGUGAGGCUACUCCUAUUGAGGCAUAAGAUAUAAAGAAUUUCGGGGUUCAAGAUUUUCAUGCUUAUCUAAUAAAUAUUCAUUCCCAUCUUGGAUAUCUUCAUUUUCUCCUUUUUCUAUCAAGGAUCUGAAUUUGACAAAUGACUUACUGAAACUUACUGAAAUUAGUCCCCUGUGCAGUUUUGUUGUGACUUUAAUAUCUUGGUCUGAUUUGCAGCAUAUUCAGUACUUCAAAAGAUGAGAAUCUCCUUAAAAAGCUUAAAUCCCCUCUGGCUUUUAGAUCAUACCCUCAUAUAGCAGUUGGCUUCCAUGAGCCUUCUUUGUUCCCUAACCCCAUUAUUUCCAAUUCCAUUAAUAGAAACCAGCCUACCCUACAAUUCUUAAGAUUGAUGAUAAUCUUAAUGAUUAUGUAGCCAUUACCUGUAAGCUGUAAUCACCGCCCCAGUAGUGAGGUCCAUUAUUGUCAGCUUGGGUGUAAAUGAGCUGAGGGUUGGCUCAGUCUUGUCUAUCAUCUGUUGAACACUCAAUGGUAAAUCAUGUAUGUGUAAAGGAAGAGAAGAAUGGAUGUAUGAUUUGGAAAUUAUGCACAGUUGUCAUUGGAUUUUUGGCUUUUGUACUAUCAUAGAUUGGAAAGCAUCAGGAUGCUUUGGAGAAGCUUAAAACUUUUCAGUUCAUACAAGGUCCAGGCUCUGUAGACUGCUUACUUCUAUAUUAUAUGACCUGCUCCAUAUUAGUAGGAAAAAAAUGACUGUUUUGUAUAAACCAGACCAAAUUGUUGGUACCCACUACUGGCUCUUUAACAUCUCUGUUGGAAUGCAUGUGGCUUCAUGUUUCCAUGCCAUUAAUCCAUCUCCAGUAGCCCGUGACAGGAACCAGAAUCCAUAGUGGAGAACAUAUUGGGCCCCAUCUGCACCAAAACCAGUCUCAGUACUGGAAAGACAUGCCUUGAAGGCAGCCAUGAUAAUUCUGAAAGCUCUACACAUACCUCACAUUCCUUCCAGGGAGAUUCAAGAGAGCUCUGGAAUACAUGCCAAGGAAGAGGGUGUUCACACAAUACUGGACCCUUCACUUGAGUUGAAAUCCCCUGAGAAUCCCAAAAGGGGAGUUGCUAAGUCCAGUCAUUUUUCUGGUGAAAUUACGUGGAACUAAUCUAAGUUAUUCCUUGACUUCUUUCACUUUAAUUUGUUUUCCCGAUCACUAACCUCUUGGCUCUGUGAUUUAUGACCGUUAUUCUCUGGUCCUUUUAGAUAGAUCGUGCCCAGCAGGUGAAGCUCCGGUCUUUGCUCUCAGAUUUCCAGUCUGCUCCUCAUAUUGAUCCUGGCAGUCCGGCUCAUUUCAGUACAUGAUCUCCUAAGAAGACCAAAAGACCAGUAGUUUUGACAUGCAACAUCGGUACAGCUCAGAUAUGACGUUACUCUCCAGAACACACCAGAGGCAUUUCAAGUAUAACUUUAUCUAAAGACCUUUGACUGCAUUCGUGAGUUUUUGGGCUUAGAAAGAAUGAACCCAGAGAAAGCUGUGGCUCAAAGAUUUUGCCAAUGAGGCUGAUACUAUUUUUAAUUACUAGAGGUCUGUAAACUUAAAAAAAAAAAAAGAAUUCCAAGAGAAGAAUGGGAUGAAGAUGGAGCAAUCUUACCUUUGGAAGUGGCCCAUUUUGCUCUGGAGGCACUGUGUAUGUCAUUAACCACAUACUAUAAAACAUGGUAUUUCCCGUAGACACCACAGUUCCCAGAAGCAUGUGUAUACCACUCUCUUCAGCCCUUUUUCAGCGUAUAAAUAUGUUAUUUUAUAAUGACAAGUCAUUAAAUUUUUCAGCCUUUGGAA